GUGAACAUUUGUUGAAAUAGCACAGGAAAAAUGAAGGUUCAAUUUUAAUAGUAUUUUUUCUUGCAGCUGUUAGAUGUCUGGAGAUAGAAUCUGUGUUAGAUCUGUUUCCAGAAUUCAAAGAACUGAAAGCAAAGAUUGACACAAGAGCUUUUCUGUCAGCAUGGGUUCCUCAUUCAAAAACGAUGUCACCCAAUGAGAUCAUACCAUUCACGACUAUAAUUGACAAGCAUGGUAUAAGUAGCGUUUCAUCAAUGACAAGCAGAGGAAUAUUUACUUGCGAGAAAACGGGAUACUACUUCGUGUCUUUUUUUGUGACGUCCAAUUCACCAAGAGCAGCAGCAAGUUUGUAUAAGACUAGAACUUUGUAUAAUAUUUCUUAUACGAUCGCAAGAGCUAUGAAAAGUGGUGAUGAUGAUUAUGAAUCGCAUGCCGCGAUGACAAUAACUCAACUUGAUAAAGGAGAUAUUCUAUCAGUGAAAGCUAACAAUAAUGGGAUGAAUGUUUACAAUACGUACGAUUCAGGAUUCACCAUUCUUCAGAUAAACUAAUGAAAGCAAUAAUUCUAUGUUUUGACAUGUAUUUCAGUUUUACUUUUAUUUUAUAUGUAAAAAUUUCGAAAUUAAAUUGCUCAUACUAAUUGAUGAAAAUUU
This is a long non-coding RNA of Mytilus californianus (California mussel), 650 nucleotides long. RefSeq lists it as uncharacterized. The transcript has 2 exons. The record is from RefSeq and is a predicted model, not a curated record. Lineage: Eukaryota; Metazoa; Mollusca; Bivalvia; Mytilida; Mytilidae.